UGAGGAAUUUUCCGCAAUGGGCGAAAGCCUGACGGAGCGACGCCGUGUGUGGGAUGAAGUCUUUCGGGAUGUAAACCACUGUCAGAGGGGAAGAUAUUGACGGUACCCUCAGAGGAAGCCCCGGCUAACUACGUGCCAGCAGCCGCGGUAAUACGUAGGGGGCGAGCGUUAUCCGGAAUUACUGGGCGUAAAGCGUAUGUAGGUGGUUUGGUAAGUCGGAUGUUAAAUCUACGGGCUCAACCUGUAGCCGCAUUCGAUACUGCCUGACUCGAGAGUGGUAGAGGAAAGCGGAACAACCGGUGUAGCGGUGAAAUGCGUAGAUAUCGGUUGGAACACCAGUGGCGAGGGCGGCUUUCUGGGCCAUUUCUGACACUGAGAUACGAAAGCUAGGGGAGCAAACGGG
RNAcentral lists this ribosomal RNA (403 nucleotides) under uncultured bacterium. RNAcentral describes it as "bacterial SSU rRNA". It matches the Rfam family "Bacterial small subunit ribosomal RNA", at positions 355 to 776 of the family's 1533-position model. The record is from RNAcentral.